GGCGGACGGGUGAGUAACGCGUGAGCAAUCUGCCUUUAGGAGGGGGAUAACACUGGGAAACCAGUGCUAAUACCGCAUGAAGUCAAUGAACAGCAUUAUUUAUUGACCAAAGAUUUAUCGCCUAAAGAUGAGCUCGCGUCUGAUUAGCUAGUUGGUGAGGUAACGGCCCACCAAGGCGACGAUCAGUAGCCGAACUGAGAGGUUGAUCGGCCACAUUGGGACUGAGACACGGCCCAGACUCCUACGGGAGGCAGCAGUGGGGGAUAUUGCGCAAUGGGGGAAACCCUGACGCAGCAACGCCGCGUGAAGGAUGAAGGUCUUCGGAUUGUAAACUU
RNAcentral lists this ribosomal RNA (335 nucleotides) under uncultured Oscillospiraceae bacterium. Its description in RNAcentral is "bacterial SSU rRNA". It matches the Rfam family "Bacterial small subunit ribosomal RNA", at positions 97 to 432 of the family's 1533-position model. The record is from RNAcentral. Lineage: Bacteria; Bacillati; Bacillota; Clostridia; Eubacteriales; Oscillospiraceae.